CGUCAACAAAGGAAUUCUUAUUCACAUACAGGUUGGACUAGAUGGUCUAAAAGUAGCUGAAGAUGAAGUCAUAAAACUAAAGUUUGUAUCCUGGUUCUGCUCGUUACUAGCUGUGUGUCUUUAGUUCAAUAUGGAACCAACAAGCUUGACAGAGGGCAAUGGACAUUGUUCAUUCUGUUACCAUAAAGGAGAAUGGAAAGAAUUAUCUUGGGAGACAUCUACUUUAAUGAAGGCAGAAUUCAUCAUUGGUGGGCAGCUGGUUGGUGAAGUGGACAGAGCACUGGACCUGUAGUGAAGAAGACCUGUGUUUAAAUCUGGCUUCCGAUACCAGUGUGUGAUGCUGGGCAAGUCACUUACCCCUGUUUGCCUCAGUUUCCUCAUCUGUAAAAUGAUCUGGAGACACAUAAAGGUGGAAUCAUUCAAGGCUUGAGUGAGCAGCACUGUGGUGAAUUUAGAAGUGAUGAGUUUAUCCUGGUAGGGGCAUCUUGUUUUAAAGUGGAGUGAAUUCCCUGGAAAUCAGGAAAAUCAAAAGUUGCCAGAGUCGUUGAAACAAGGCACCAGUAUACUUUCUAUUGGGAGGUACCUUCUUGACCCUAGAUAAAGGUUUGUACUCUGUAAAUUCAUCAGAUUGUUCAGGGAGUUCAUGAAAUUGAGCAUGGACUCUUCCUCUGAUCAAUAAUCACCUCCCUGACCACACUUGGAAGAAGUUAUUUUCUAAAGUAAGCAUAGAGC
Molecule: long non-coding RNA, 732 nt
Filed under: Monodelphis domestica (gray short-tailed opossum)
Lineage: Eukaryota; Metazoa; Chordata; Mammalia; Didelphimorphia; Didelphidae
Description: lncRNA (ENSMODG00000045388.1)
Source: RNAcentral